Molecule: ribosomal RNA, 253 nt
Filed under: uncultured bacterium
Lineage: Bacteria
Description: partial 16S ribosomal RNA
Rfam family: Bacterial small subunit ribosomal RNA
Source: RNAcentral
UACGGAGGGAGCUAGCGUUGUUCGGAAUUACUGGGCGUAAAGCGUGCGCAGGCGGUUUUGUAAGCCAGAUGUGAAAUCCCCGGGCUUAACCUGGGAAUGGCAUUUGGGACUGCAAGGCUCGAGUGCGGCAGAGGAGACUGGAAUUCCUGGUGUAGCAGUGAAAUGCGUAGAUAUCAGGAGGAACACCGAUGGCGAAGGCAGGUCUCUGGGCUGACACUGACGCUCAUGCACGAAAGCGUGGGGAGCAAACAGG